Molecule: long non-coding RNA, 601 nt
Filed under: Gallus gallus (chicken)
Lineage: Eukaryota; Metazoa; Chordata; Aves; Galliformes; Phasianidae
Source: RNAcentral
ACUUAUGAACAGAGUGAUUUCCACGUUCAGCCAUUGACUGCAUCUGUUAUCCCUAAAUCCCAUGACUCAAGCCUAGGAAACUUGGUCUUGUUUCUGAACAAAAACAAACUGUUGAAAUUGUUACAAUUAUUAUACAGUAUACUCCUUACCCCAUCUAGAAGAGUGUUUGUUAGAUGCAUGCGAAGAUCUUUACGAAAUGGAAAUUCCAGAUUAGAUACAUGAAAAAUUGAAUUGUCUCUAUCAAUCAUAUAUACUUCAUUCUUGCCAUCAAUCAGCAUCAUGUACCGAGUACCGUCUGCUUUCCAGCUAACUUUGUAUGGCUUCUGUUCCAGAAAUUUAAUAUUUUGCUUGUCCAUGGAAACAGGCUGUGCUCCAGGGAAUCCAGACCCUUCCCAUCCACAGAACUGCUGACACUUCUGCUGUAUUCCUCCCAGCUUUGGUUGUGUUGUCACCUGGGUCACAUAUUUAACUGUUACACCUUCCAAGAAAACUGCACCCAGUUUUAGGUGUUCUUUUCUCCUCUUGCCAAAGGAAGAGCUUGAUGAUCCAGGUUCUGAUUCUUGGCCUCCCAUUUUACCAUUGUCAUCAUCUUCCUCUUCAU